Molecule: long non-coding RNA, 260 nt
Filed under: Elaeis guineensis (African oil palm)
Lineage: Eukaryota; Viridiplantae; Streptophyta; Magnoliopsida; Arecales; Arecaceae
Description: long non-coding RNA (EGUI_LNC078365)
Source: RNAcentral
AGGCUACUGGGUGUAGUCAAGUACUUGACUUGUCGGUGCGUGUGUCAAGAUGGGAUUGACCACUCCAGUUUAGGAGCUGUGUAUAGUCGUAUUUCAAUUUAGCAAAACCUUGGCCAGGGUAGUCCUUGUGAGGAGUCACAGGACUGUUUGAGUUGAGCAUGAUUCGGAUGAUCUAAUCAGGGUUGACAGUUUAACCCUGAGUCGUCCUAAACACAGAGGUUAAAAGGAUGAAUUAUACAAUAACCAUAUUCACAUAGGUU